Molecule: ribosomal RNA, 513 nt
Filed under: uncultured bacterium
Lineage: Bacteria
Description: bacterial SSU rRNA
Rfam family: Bacterial small subunit ribosomal RNA
Source: RNAcentral
GAGUUUGAUCGUGGCUCAGAUUGAACGCUGGCGGCAGGCCUAACACAUGCAAGUCGAGCGGUAGAGAGAAGCUUGCUUCUCUUGAGAGCGGCGGACGGGUGAGUAAUGCCUAGGAAUCUGCCUGGUAGUGGGGGAUAACGCUCGGAAACGGACGCUAAUACCGCAUACGUCCUACGGGAGAAAGCAGGGGACCUUCGGGCCUUGCGCUAUCAGAUGAGCCUAGGUCGGAUUAGCUAGUUGGUGAGGUAAUGGCUCACCAAGGCGACGAUCCGUAACUGGUCUGAGAGGAUGAUCAGUCACACUGGAACUGAGACACGGUCCAGACUCCUACGGGAGGCAGCAGUGGGGAAUAUUGGACAAUGGGCGAAAGCCUGAUCCAGCCAUGCCGCGUGUGUGAAGAAGGUCUUCGGAUUGUAAAGCACUUUAAGUUGGGAGGAAGGGACAGUAAAAUUAAUAACUUUGCUGUUUUGACGUUACCGACAGAAUAAGACACCGGCUAACUCUGUGCCAGCA